Molecule: transfer RNA, 73 nt
Filed under: Patiria miniata (bat star)
Lineage: Eukaryota; Metazoa; Echinodermata; Asteroidea; Valvatida; Asterinidae
Description: tRNA-Leu
Rfam family: tRNA
About the family: Transfer RNA (tRNA) molecules are approximately 80 nucleotides in length.
Source: Rfam by way of RNAcentral
AGCUCGGUGGUCGAGUGGUAAGACAUCUGCACCAGAAAGCAGGAGGUCGUGGGUUCGAGUCCCACCCGAGUGA